Molecule: long non-coding RNA, 358 nt
Filed under: Elaeis guineensis (African oil palm)
Lineage: Eukaryota; Viridiplantae; Streptophyta; Magnoliopsida; Arecales; Arecaceae
Description: long non-coding RNA (EGUI_LNC017644)
Source: RNAcentral
CCAUGGUUUUGCCAGAGAUGACUGGAGGACCGGUUUGACCGGCCUAGUCCUACUCAGAAGUGGGCAUUAGUUGGGCCUGGCCACGCGAGGCUGGCCUCAAACGAUAGAUUUAAAGCAGCUCAGGGGGAGCAGAUAGAGAGAUCUAUUGGCUGAGACACCCUUUUGGAGGAUUCCGGUUGUAUUCAUGCGAAACGAGGACACUUUCCUUCGCCCCGUCGACCGUCGGAUCAUCCCUAUUUCACUUUGAGAUCUGUGGAACGCGUGACUGGCGGAGGUCGGAGCGCAGUGAAUCGGACACGAGAGAUAUUUAAAACGGAUGAUCCCAUGGUCAACGGUCGUCCUGGGCAACUCCUCUUUU